This 454-nucleotide RNase P RNA is filed under the name Rhodothermus sp. Its description in RNAcentral is "RNase P RNA component class A". It matches the Rfam family "Bacterial RNase P class A". Rfam says of the family: Ribonuclease P (RNase P) is a ubiquitous endoribonuclease, found in archaea, bacteria and eukarya as well as chloroplasts and mitochondria. Its best characterised activity is the generation of mature 5'-ends of tRNAs by cleaving the 5'-leader elements of precursor-tRNAs. Lineage: Bacteria; Pseudomonadati; Rhodothermota; Rhodothermia; Rhodothermales; Rhodothermaceae. The record is from RNAcentral.
UGCGCUGGCUGGACCAUCGCGUCGCCCGUCUCCUGUAAGGCGCGGCGGCGAGGAAAGUCCGAACACCACAGGGCACCCCGCCUCCUAACAGGAGGGCACCGUUCGGGUAACCGGGCGGUGACGGAAAGUGCCACAGAGAGCAGACCGGCCGAUGGUCUCGCUUCGGCGAGACACAGGCAAAGGGUGAAAGGGUGGGGUAAGAGCCCACCAGCGUCGCUGGUAACAGCGGCGGCUGGCAAACCCCGGGGGGUGCAAGGCCAAGCAGCGCCGCACCGCCGUAAGGGCGGAUAAGGUGGCCCGCUGAAAGCGUCGCCUUCGGGCGAUGCGGCGGCGCGGGUAGGCCGCUUGAGGCUGCCGGUGACGGCAGUCCCAGAUAAAUGAUGGUCUCCCCGGAAGUGGCACGGCGGCCGUCGCUCCGGGCAGACAGAAUUCGGCUUACAGGCCAGCGCACGCC